GGGCCCGUAGCUCAGCGGUAGAGCAACGGACUUUUAAUCCGAUGGUCGCGGGUUCGAUCCCCGCCGGGCCCCCCA
RNAcentral lists this transfer RNA (75 nucleotides) under Chloroflexota bacterium. RNAcentral describes it as "Chloroflexi bacterium tRNA-Lys". It matches the Rfam family "tRNA". Rfam says of the family: Transfer RNA (tRNA) molecules are approximately 80 nucleotides in length. Their secondary structure includes four short double-helical elements and three loops (D, anti-codon, and T loops). RNAcentral also lists the same sequence under 2 other names. The record is from RNAcentral. Lineage: Bacteria; Bacillati; Chloroflexota.